RNAcentral lists this ribosomal RNA (433 nucleotides) under uncultured bacterium. Its description in RNAcentral is "partial 16S ribosomal RNA". It matches the Rfam family "Bacterial small subunit ribosomal RNA", at positions 29 to 507 of the family's 1533-position model. The record is from RNAcentral.
AACGAACGCUGGCGGCAUGCCUAACACAUGCAAGUCGAACGAGACCUUCGGGUCUAGUGGCGCACGGUUGCGUAACGCGUGGGAACCUGCCCUUAGGUUCGGAAUAACUCCCCGAAAGGGGUGCUAAUACCGGAUAAUGUCUUCGGACCAAAGAUUUAUCGCCUUUGGAUGGGCCCGCGUUGGAUUAGCUAGUUGGUAGGGUAAAAGCCUACCAAGGCGACGAUCCAUAGCUGGUCUGAGAGGAUGAUCAGCCACACUGGGACUGAGACACGGCCCAGACUCCUACGGGAGGCAGCAGUGGGGAAUAUUGGACAAUGGGCGAAAGCCUGAUCCAGCAAUGCCGCGUGAGUGAUGAAGGCCUUAGGGUUGUAAAGCUCUUUUACCCGGGAUGAUAAUGACAGUACCGGGAGAAUAAGCUCCGGCUAACUCCGUG